UCAAUACUCCACUGUACACCC
Molecule: non-coding RNA, 21 nt
Organism: Caenorhabditis elegans
Lineage: Eukaryota; Metazoa; Nematoda; Chromadorea; Rhabditida; Rhabditidae
Source: Ensembl